AACGAACGCUGGCGGCAGGCCUAACACAUGCAAGUCGAACGCCCUGGCAACAGGGAGUGGCAGACGGGUGAGUAACGCGUGGGAACGUGCCCUUCGGUUCGGAAUAACUCAGGGAAACUUGAGCUAAUACCGGAUACGUGCGCGAGCAGAAAGAUUUAUCGCCGAAGGAUCGGCCCGCGUCCGAUUAGCUAGUUGGUGAGGUAACGGCUCACCAAGGCGACGAUCGGUAGCUGGUCUGAGAGGAUGAUCAGCCACACUGGGACUGGGACACGGCCCAGACUCCUACGGGAGGCAGCAGUGGGGAAUAUUGGACAAUGGGCGCAAGCCUGAUCCAGCCAUGCCGCGUGAGUGAUGAAGGCCCUAGGGUUGUAAAGCUCUUUCGCCAGGGACGAUAAUGACGGUACCUGGAUAAGAAGCCCCGGCUAACUUCGUGCCAGCCGCCGCGGUAA
RNAcentral lists this ribosomal RNA (449 nucleotides) under uncultured bacterium. Its description in RNAcentral is "partial 16S ribosomal RNA". It matches the Rfam family "Bacterial small subunit ribosomal RNA", at positions 29 to 523 of the family's 1533-position model. The record is from RNAcentral.